CCCUUAGAUGUUCUGGGCCGCACGCGCGCUACACUGACGAAUGCAACGAGCUUAUAACCUUGGCCGAAAGGUCUGGGUAAUCUCCAAAUUUCGUCGUGAUGGGGAUAGAUUAUUGCAAUUAUUAAUCUUCAACGAGGAAUGCCUAGUAAGCGCAAGUCAUCAGCUUGCGUUGAUUACGUCCCUGCCCUUUGUACACACCGCCCGUCGCUCCUACCGAUUGAAUGGUCCGGUGAAAUCUCGGGACGGCGGCUUGGUCGCUUGCGUCCGACUGCUGAAACUUGAUUAAACCAUAUCAUUUAGAGGAAGGUGAAGUCGUAACA
RNAcentral lists this ribosomal RNA (320 nucleotides) under uncultured eukaryote. RNAcentral describes it as "partial 18S ribosomal RNA". It matches the Rfam family "Eukaryotic small subunit ribosomal RNA", at positions 1470 to 1796 of the family's 1831-position model. The record is from RNAcentral.